GGAAGCGUGGUUUCCUUCAACUGCGCACAGGAGCUCCUCCCUAGGAACUGUCAUUAAAAUCUGAAACAGGGAGUUCCCAUCGUGGCUCAGCAGUUAACGAAUCUGACUAGCAUCCAUGAGGACGAGGGUUCAAUCCCUGGCCUCGCUCAGUGAGUUAAGGAUCUGGUGUUGCCGUGAGCUGUGGUGCAGGUCACAGACUCGGCUCAGAUCUGAGUGCGGCCCUAAAAAAAAAAAAGGCUUAAUUUAAAAAAUCUGAAACAGGAGGAGUUCUCUUGUGAUGCAGUGGGUUAAAGAUCUGGCAUCGUCACUGCGGCAGCUUGGGUCACUGCUGUAGCGCAAGUUUGAUCCCGGGCCCAGGAACUUGCACACACUGCAGGUACAGCUAAAAGAGAAAAAUAAAAUAAGCAAAAUAAAAUUUGGAAACAGAAUAACAAUGAAAUAAUAUAUAAACUCCUCAUGUCAGGGAACUCUUUAUUCACUAAUAGUGGAAAAAUGGAAGAUUUCUACCUAUUAACCCUCCAGUGCAUCUAGCUCCUCACAGCGAGAAAGUGAUCUGUAAACUCUGCCAAGGUGGCUUGAAAUUUCUACCAACUCAUUUUGUCCUCCCCACAUUCUUCUGCCCCAGUCUGUCUAUCUCAAUGAAUUCUCUCUGUAUUCCUUACAACCGAGACAAUGAUAUGACCCAUGUCUUAAUUCUGGCACUUUCAUUGAAUGAUGCUGCGCCCGAGGCACCAAGAGCAGAAAUGGGAUCUGUUCACCCGCUGGCCCUCGACAGUGUCACUGACACAGCUCCUGGGGUUUUGGUCAUAAAAGAACAUAGGCUCAGGUGUGCAUUCCUUAGGCCGGUCCUACAGCAGCAGAUCUGCGGGCUGAGGCUUGACCAUAGGAGACCAUCGCAGUUGACACUGGUUUGCAGACCCCAGUUUGUAUUCCCUCUUCUCAUCAGGCUCUCCUGAAAGUCUGAUUGCCGUUCAGAGAGACUCGUGAAAGUGGAGUAGCAUCAUGUGUUUUUAAUGUGAGAUCCCGCUUGUACUUUGGGACAAUCUGCCUCAGUCUUUUAGAAACUCUUUGAGGUCUGGUUGCCUUGAAAGAACAUGAACUGAGGUUGAGAACAUCCUGUGGGGUUUUCUCCCCCUCAUGGAUGGAAGGAUCAGUGUAAGUCCAAGAGCCUUUGCAGAAGGAUGAGAAGAUGAGGGUGGAAGCAGAGGCAACCUUCUCAGUUCGCUGGGGGGACUUCACUUGCAGUGUCUGUAAAUGCUCCAGUUCAGCAAGUACCAGCUGCCAGUGCUUCCCUUCUUGUGCCUGUACCACCACAGCGUGCACGGGCACAAACGUGUGCCUCCCCAGAAGUGCCUCUCAGAGCAGCAGGUCUGAAAAGCAUUGGAAGCAGAAACUGGGGUGAAGGCAGGCCGGGUCAGCCCUUUGUCCAUGCUCCAAGAGAUGAGAACCUCGCUUCUUUACUGAUUUCUCUUUCAGAAAUCAGAUGGCCAACAAUCAUUAGAUUUUUGUGCCAUUCAUAGUAUUGGGACUUCUUGGGUUAGCUAUAAAAGUGCCCCCCUUUCAGGUUAAAAAUCAUCUUCUAAUCCAUCUCUGUAGGCACCGUGUGUUUCCUUGCCUUUUAGAAAGCCCAGUUCAGCGUUCCCGUUGUGGCUCAGCAGGUUAAGAGGAUGCAGGUUCAAUCCCUGGCCUCGCUCAGUAGGUUAAGGAUUCAGCAUUGCCACAAGCUAUGGCAUAGGUCACAGAUUUGGCUCGGAUCUGGUGUUGCUGUGGCUGUGGUGUAGGCCAGCAGCUAUAGCUCCAGUUGAGACCCCUAGCCCAGGAACUUCCAGAUGCCUCAGGUGCCACAGUAAAAAGGGGAAAAAAAAAAGCCGAGUUCAUUAUGAUUAGGGAGUCAUUCCCAAGAGCUGACCUGGUAAGCAGCCACACACCUGAGGGUGGGGAACAAAGCUGUUUCCAGUGUGUCUCAGGAGAAAUGAAAACCCCCUCGCUUAAAAAGGGGGGGUGGAGGGAGUGCUUCCACAUCUUUUAUGGAGCCUGGAUUCUCCCACUGCUUCAUGGGCUGUGACUUCCUUAAGCAUACUGGCCGGAAACAUCGUCUUCUAGAUGGAAGGUUAUAUAGCAGCCUGUUGUAUCUGGGAGACACUUCGGGACCCACGUCACGUGUAAGCAAGCCAGAUAGGAGCUUGUCAUAGUGGCCAGCAGAGGACAGGGCGGAAUGUCCCCAGAAUCUAUUUUCCCGUGGGAGGAGAAGGUGGAAUUGACAUUCCCCCACACACACUGGGGAAGGAGGAGGUGUGAUUCUAGAGUUUCUUGGGAGCCUGUUGUUUGCAGGCAGAGAAAGCGUCUGGCAUCUUCAGGUUUCUGAGGUCCAGCGUGCCUCUGUGCGCACGAACCCCUGUCCGCUCUUCCAGGCAAUUUUGGCAGCAACUGUUCAAUGAGGCUCCAACCCUGCUCAGGAGAUCCCAACCCUGUAGUAGGAUCUGGGCCUUGAUUUCUCCCAACCUGCUCAGUGGAGGAGGGGACAGGGGGAUGAUUCAAAAGCCCAGGACUGAGGGGGACAUCCCAGAAACAGGACCAACACAUACGUUUGUUCUUAUUGUUCUAACGUAAGACCUGUUCUCUCUAGCCACUGAUUUUACCAGGCUUUCUAAAAGAUCUCGUGGUAAAUACACACAUGGUACUGAAAACAACCCCUCUACCCAGUGUAAUAAUUUACUGAAGUAUUCAACUCUUCAUUACCUUUAUGAUAGCAAACCUGAUGCUUUUUUUUUAAGAACUUGUUACUCUGACUUCUGUAUAUGUUGCACUGAAAAGGUUAAUAUUUAAUGUUUAAUUUAUUUUGUGUGGUAAGUUAAUUUUGAUUUCUGUAAUGCCUUAAUGUGAUUAGCCAUUCUUUUCCUUAAUAUCUGAAUUAUAGUUAUUUAAAGAGUAGUGAGCGAUAUAAAAUGCAGUUGUGUUUUUCAGUAAUAUGUAUUGUUGUUCAGUUGUACUGUACCUUGUUUGAAAGGAUGAAGGAAUGAACUCUUUUUUUUU
Molecule: long non-coding RNA, 3033 nt
Filed under: Sus scrofa (pig)
Lineage: Eukaryota; Metazoa; Chordata; Mammalia; Artiodactyla; Suidae
Description: lncRNA (ENSSSCG00000055468.1)
Source: RNAcentral